This 200-nucleotide long non-coding RNA is filed under the name Elaeis guineensis (African oil palm). Its description in RNAcentral is "long non-coding RNA (EGUI_LNC031966)". The record is from RNAcentral. Lineage: Eukaryota; Viridiplantae; Streptophyta; Magnoliopsida; Arecales; Arecaceae.
CAUGGGAUUGAUGUUCUUUAGACCAAAAGAGGGACUAAGUUGAUAUUCCAGGGACAAUGAGGAAACAUCAUCAAAAUCCCUUAUAAUUAUUAUCUAAUCAAAUCUCUCUUUGUCCUCGAGAGGAUGCUACAGUUGCAUGCUCAUGAAAUCUAUCUCUAUGAUGCUUCAAUUGUAUUUUUACCUCAUUUACCUUCCCAAGC